GCAAACUCAAUUCGAUUUAACCAUCAUUUUCCCAUCGAAGUUCAAAAUCAAAUCCGACUUCAAAAUUUCAUCAACACCAUACAAUCUCAAAAUCGAAUUCGACGAAGAUGAUGGUUGAGAAGCAUCCAUCACCACUUUCGAUUUAACCCAUUUCAAUUUAUAGAAUCCAAAAAGCAAAACAAGUACAACUUAACUCAGAAAUAACAGCAACAACUUCAAUUGAUUUUUUCCAGCUUCAAUUAGUGUAGGUAGGACAUGCAAGAAGAAGAAACAAAAUGAAGAAGGAAGAAGAGGGAGUGGACUUCAGACUUCAUAUUCAACAACAACAACAACCUCAAUUGACUUCAAUAAGCUUCAAUUUAUUUUAAAUAUGUGGUGAGUUGAGAUUUGAGUUGAAACACACCACAACAGGAGAAACAAUAAAAUCACAGAAAUCACAAAAACACAAUUUUGAGAAAUCACAAAAAUCCUCUUCUUUAACAACACCAGCAACAUUCAUUGUCAAAACAUAUGUUUUCCCAACAAGUAUCCAAUGAACAAACAAGAUUUUAAAUAACCUAACUUCACCAUAAGCGGCAACAAAAACACCCAUUGAAAUGGAAAGCAUAUUAAACAUGAUGUUUUUUUUAACAUAAUAUAUGUUGGUGACAGUCGGGAAUUUUGUGAGUACUGGGAGAGUGAUUGGGUUUAAAGUGAGAAGAGACACAACUUCCAUAAUUGUAUGUUGUUGGUGGUUGUAAUAGAGGAAGAAAUGGAUUUGGGUUUCAAAAUUGGGAAUUAGGGAUCUAAGAU
This 792-nucleotide long non-coding RNA is filed under the name Medicago truncatula (barrel medic). RNAcentral describes it as "long non-coding RNA (MTRU_LNC004535)". The record is from RNAcentral. Lineage: Eukaryota; Viridiplantae; Streptophyta; Magnoliopsida; Fabales; Fabaceae.